AUUGAACGCUGGCGGCAUGCCUUACACAUGUAAGUCGAACGGCAGCGCGGACUUCGGUCUGGCGGCGAGUGGCGAACGGGUGAGUAAUACAUCGGAACGUACCCUGUUGUGGGGGAUAACUAGUCGAAAGAUUAGCUAAUACCGCAUACGACCUGAGGGUGAAAGUGGGGGACCGCAAGGCCUCACGCAGCAGGAGCGGCCGAUGUCUGAUUAGCUAGUUGGUGGGGUAAAGGCCCACCAAGGCGACGAUCAGUAGCUGGUCUGAGAGGACGAUCAGCCACCCUGGGUCUGGGGCCCGGCCCCGACUCCUACGGGGGGCCGCAGGUGGGAAUUUUGGACAAUGGGGGACACCCUGCUCCCGCAAUGCCCGGUGUGUGAAGAAGGCCUGCGGGUUUUAAAGCCCUUUUGUCCGGAAAAAAAUCGCGCUUGUUAAUCCCGGGCGGGGAUGGCGGGACCGGAAAAAUAAGCCCCGGCUAACUAC
This 481-nucleotide ribosomal RNA is filed under the name uncultured bacterium. RNAcentral's name for it is "partial 16S ribosomal RNA". It matches the Rfam family "Bacterial small subunit ribosomal RNA", at positions 28 to 504 of the family's 1533-position model. The record is from RNAcentral.